Molecule: long non-coding RNA, 1326 nt
Organism: Esox lucius (northern pike)
Lineage: Eukaryota; Metazoa; Chordata; Actinopteri; Esociformes; Esocidae
Exons: 4
Source: RefSeq, a predicted model, not a curated record
AACUCUAUAUGCACAGAACUCAUGCCUCUGGGACUCCAUCUAGAUUCAGUGAUAGUGGAUCUGGAAGUGACUUCACUCUGGCCAUCAGUGGAGUCCAAUCUGAAGAUACAGUGAGGAUGUUGAGAGCCCAUGCUUGAGUGCUCAUGGACUGUAUAUAACCCAGUGUGUUCAACACUUCAUUAGUGAGACCUGUUCUUCAUGACAACAGAACCAACAACAACCAUGACUUUGACCAUCUUCAUCUGUAUUUUUACCCUCUUUAUUCAAGAGUCCAGAGGACAGAUCGUUGUGACUCAGAGUCCUGCAUUAAAAUCUGUUUCUGUGGGUCACUCAGUCAGUCUCAGCUGUAAGACCAGUAGUUCUGUAUACAUGUGAAUAGCUAGUGGACAGCAGCUUGGCCUGGUAUCAACAGAAAUUUGGAGAAGCUCCUAAACUCCUCAUAUAUUUAGUUAGUACCCGUUACUCUGGGACCCCAUCUAGAUUCAGUGGUAGUGGAUCUGGGAGUGACUUCACUCUGACCAUCAGUGGAGUCCAGCCUGAAGAUACAGGGGAUUACUACUGUCAGAGUGUACACUUUCCUAUUAGUGUCAGGACGUACACACAGUGAUACAGAGUCGUACAAAAACCUCCCUCAGUCAGAUUACACAGUGACUACUGGUACAGCUGGGACUUACUGCAGGUGCUGAAGUGGAAGAGACAGUGGUAUGGAACACUGCUCAGUAGAGGAUGUCAACUCUAACAUGUUACAACAUGAUUGGAAGGUUAUCAUUGGUAUAAUGUUCUCUCAUUGACCUCUCCUGAAUUAACCUCAUCGACAUAUUGGUUAUGACUACCAAGUGCACCCACCCUACCUAGUCACACAAGAUUUAUCUUUGCAGUUAAAGUUACAAACAUGAGCACUACAGACCGGUGAAAAUGAAUGGAACAGAAAUAUUAUAUAUCCACACGAUUAGCUUACUGACUGACGCCUGGUUCUGUGAAUGAGAAACAGAUGUUGGAUCAGACUUUAUUGUCAUAACAGGAUAAACAAAUGGUCUAGUCAGUGUAUUUUAUAAUAGUAAUUAGUUAACCCUUGUUAAGUGUCAUCUAUUAGUCCACAUUAAAAUCAAUCGAAUCUCUCCACACCUGGCCCAUUCUGAAGGAUUUCAGGCCGUGAACCAGUGAAACUAGAAUGUGAGCUGUAGGAGUGAAACAUAUUUGCAUAGACAAGGCUGGGUGGUUCUGCUUUUCCCAGAAUACAUCACCUCUGCAACCAGAUGUUCACCCUGUUCCCAGGAGGUUGGAGGUAGAGAAGUGACUAGCUUGAUGCUGUAGUAAAAUUCUUGU